Molecule: long non-coding RNA, 2848 nt
Organism: Balaenoptera ricei (Rice's whale)
Lineage: Eukaryota; Metazoa; Chordata; Mammalia; Artiodactyla; Balaenopteridae
Exons: 5
Source: RefSeq, a predicted model, not a curated record
CGGCAGAGGCGACGGUGUUUGAAGUUCGUCUGGGAGUUGUUAGGGCGGGGCAGGCGAGCGGAAACGCUCAGACCCUCCUAAGGCAGUGCUGGACGUUAAAGGGUCACACUGCUCCCGAAAAUGUCAAUUCAAAACCUGAGAGAACAAAACUUCACUUUUCAUGUAUUUUGUAGCCUUCUUUCGUUUCCCAGAGAAGGGUGUGCUGAGGAACCCCCCAACGCAAGGCGUGGAGGCAGCUGUCCACCCCGACCCGCAGCCUUUGGACAGAUACGGCCUCACAGCCCCGGCCUGGGCUUGAGGUAUUUCGUUUUUCCUCAGCGAGGGGAUUGCGGAAGGUCUGAGCUCGCCUAGGCGUUAUUGCAUAGAGAGUGAGGGGAACCUGAGGCUCAGAGGUGGAGUGAUAGCAAAGCUGAAGGGUCGUUGACACUGAAGCCCAGAGUCCUCCGUCUCAACGUCCAGAGCGCACCCUGACGCCCGGCAACGUCUGGGUGUGUUUUGCCCCAUCUGCACGGAAGGGAGAACCCAAAUUGCCUGUGAAUUCUGCAGAGCCUCCCCUGACCCAUCCCCUUAUUUCCUUAGUAAUAAUAUGGUCGGUACCUUCCUCUCUUGGGUCACACCCCCUUCGCCCACCCCCACCACCACUCUCUUACCUAGGUUCCUUUAUUCAGACACAAGAAACAGUGCCAACAGCGUGUAUAAAUAUUGUGCUUUAAUGAACUCCUUAAAUAGAAAUGUCACGACAAAAAUAUACAAUUGGAAGAGACAGGGUGUCUCCCAUACCCAUAGAAAACUGUAAAGGAAGAAGUAGAAAUCGGAAUUAAAGGAGCAGCAAGAGGAGGGAGUGUCUCUCAAGAAUGUAAGGGUGUCGGGAACCCUGACGCUGUCAUGAAGAGCAAGAAGGAAGAACUCAGAGAAUUCAAACUCAGCUGGAGACUGCUGGAGGAGCUGCCAGACGCAAUCAAGGAAGAGGAGAAACACUGGGGCCUGAGAAGAGGGAAAUUAAAAGAGGUGUGUCCAGCCCAGCUAGAGGAGGCUCCUCGGAAACUUCAGUCGACUCUGGAGAGGGCGGGAGAGAUGCCCAGCCCCUUAAAGGAGAAUACACACAAUUUUGGAAAAGUGGAGAGGAAGUGGAGGAGCCUAAGAAAGAGAGCAUGAAACAUAUCUCAUGUGAAGGGUCCAGUGGAAAAGUAGGGAGAGAAAUUGAAACAUCUGCAGGAUACAGACACAGGUACAGGGAGAAAAGGCAGCUGCAAGAGUCCUGGUGCCCAAUCUGUCUCCCUCCUCUCCAUCUUCCCAAAGACACUGGAACUAGGAUGCGACUGUCUUUGCCUCUGAGCUGAGGAAAAGUCCCCGGGAGACGGACAUCGUAUGUGGAAGAGAUCGCAGCUACAAAGCAGAUAGAACGGCUAGGCUUGCCUCACCUGGCCAAUCGGACAUUGUCAUUGUCAUCUUUGCCCCACUCCCAGCCCUUUCCAGGGUCCACAGCAAAGUGCAAGGGCAGCAGCUUAUGCUCUGAAUCUGUAAGUGGGAUCACAGCUGGGAAGGAAAGAAACAUGAUCAAGGAGUCUCUUUGAGAAGAGAGGAAGGCAACUGAACACAGACUGACUUCAGUGAAAAGGAGGCUGAACCACACCAAAGGUCUCUAACUGCAGUCACUUCUCAGUUCGUAACAUGUGAAUUACCUUAGCAUUUAAAAACUUAACAGGCAGGUUUUCCCUUGUAACCCAGCACACAAUUUAGGCCACUAAUCUCCAUGACUUCCCACCAGUCAGCUAGCACCCAUGAUGUUCUUGCCAGUUAACGGAGAUUCAGGGAAUUCAAAGUCAUUAUCAAGACAAAUAUAGCAAAGCAUCAUUUGGAAGGUACUAUGAGCUUACUGUAUAAGCUCUUUACUCCAGAGCAGGGAAUACAGGCUGUGUUUUUCUCCAAACCUUUUUUUUUUUUUUAAUUUUAAAACCUCUGUAUAUCUUAUAGCUUAGUAAAACCGUAUCAACAUGCACUGUCUGAGCUUGCAUGUCACUUAAUUCUUUCCUCCUACAUUCUCUCUCAUUUCAGUUUUUCGAAGUGAAAAUAAAGCAGACCAAAAGACACCAGAGACACAGACACUGCAUUCCGCACCUUGUUCCUUGGCAUUCUCCUUCUGUUCCAUGGACACAAGUGCAGAAAAGUGGGCCUGAUCGUAGGCGAGCACCAGAGGGGAGCGGUGACACUGGCUGGCUGGAACCUCCAAGGGCAGAUAGAUUCCCCCAAAGGGAAUAGGGGCAAAUGCUGCAGGAAACCACGGAGGUUAUUAUUAAGGCUAUAUUCUUGCCUAGUGGGAAAUCCCUCCACCCCACUCUGCCAACUGAGCCCCCCUCUCAUUCCAACCCAUGUUUAAUAAUUCUUUCCUAAGAAGCCACAUCAAUUAACCUCAGCUGCUUUACUCUGAAUCUCAUGAGAAUUUUGCCUUGCUCUAAUUUAUACCUUGUUUUUUCCCCAAGGGUCUAUAUAACCCCUUUCCUGCCCUCCUUCCAGUGCUUAGCCCAAGGCUCUGCAGAUAGGGCUGCUCAGGGUACAGUGAGGACUGACUGACUCACCUUCCCCGCCAGAGUCCCUCAGCAUGGUGUCUGCCACAACGACUAUGGGCCUCCUAAGCACAUGGGCAAGGACGAAAACAUGGAAUUCUUCUAGGCUCUCAUACACAGGCUCUUCUGAACUCUCCACCCUAGAGUUGCAGGAGGCGAGAGAGAGGAAGGAGUGCAGUGGAAGGGAGAGGGAAGAAAACAAAACAAGAGACCCAUAAAGACCAGCUCUGCAAAGAGGAAAAAACAAUGUCCCUUCCUUGUUUUCCAGUCUUAAGGCUGCCACA